UUCUUCCCCUCUGAUUCAACAAAUUUCUCAAUUUUUCUCAGCUUUCCUGAAAUCCAUGGCAUCUCAGGUUGUUGCAGGCAGAUGCCAUAAACCAUAUCAGUUAUAAGGUGAGAAAAAAGAGUUCUUUGA
Prunus avium (sweet cherry) is the source of this 129-nucleotide non-coding RNA. NCBI's taxonomy places the organism in Eukaryota, Viridiplantae, Streptophyta, Magnoliopsida, Rosales, Rosaceae. The record is from RefSeq and is a predicted model, not a curated record.